GGACCCGCACAAGCGGUGGAUGAUGUGGUUUAAUUCGAUGCAACGCGAAAAACCUUACCCACCUUUGACAUGUACGGAACUCGCCAGAGAUGGCUUGGUGCUCGAAAGAGAACCGUAACACAGGUGCUGCAUGGCUGUCGUCAGCUCGUGUCGUGAGAUGUUGGGUUAAGUCCCGCAACGAGCGCAACCCUUGUCAUUAGUUGCUACAUUCAGUUGGGCACUCUAAUGAGACUGCCGGUGACAAGCCGGAGGAAGGUGGGGAUGACGUCAAGUCCUCAUGGCCCUUAUAGGUGGGGCUACACACGUCAUACAAUGGCUGGUACAAAGGGUUGCCAACCCGCGAGGGGGAGCUAAUCCCACAAAGCCAGUCGUAGUCCGGAUCGUAGUCUGCAACUCGACUACGUGAAGUCGGAAUCGCUAGUAAUCGUGGAUCAGAAUGUCACGGUGAAUACGUUCCCGGGUCUUGUACACACCGCCCGUCACACCAUGGGAGCGGGUUCUGCCAGAAGUAGUUAGCCUAACCGCAAGGAGGGCGAUUACCACGGCAGGGUUCGUGACUGGGGUGAAGUCGUAACAAGGUAGCCGUAUCGGAAGGUGCGGCU
This 602-nucleotide ribosomal RNA is filed under the name uncultured Rhodoferax sp. Its description in RNAcentral is "bacterial SSU rRNA". It matches the Rfam family "Bacterial small subunit ribosomal RNA", at positions 917 to 1519 of the family's 1533-position model. Lineage: Bacteria; Pseudomonadati; Pseudomonadota; Betaproteobacteria; Burkholderiales; Comamonadaceae. The record is from RNAcentral.